AUUGCUUUUAAGAUCAAGCAACUUGUAAUAGUAAUGGAAAUGUGUGUAUCAUAUAAAUGUUAAGAAUUUUUAUUCUCCAUUAUUAUUGAUAGGUAAGUAGAGGAACUUUUUAUUUAUAUAAAUGCUGCCUUAGGCAUAAUCUUGGUAUGAAAGUUAUUUACUUAAUGUACCAUAAAACCAUGCUGCCAGAGGAUGCACUACUACUACUACUACUACUACUACUACUACUACUACUACUACUACUACUAAGUUCAUUGUUUGAUUUUUCAAAUUCUAUAGCAGAUGGUAGGGUUUCUGCUACAAACGGAAUCGUAAACUAUUGGAUAGCUAUGUAUGUGGUUUCAAAUACUAUUUUAUGAAUGUUUAGCAUUUUUGCAAUUAAUAUCUAUAUUUUUAAUACUUCAUAUUUGAAAAAAAACUCAUAUAAACCAAGAUUAUCUAUAGUUAUAUUUUUCUUCUUAAAUUUUUG
RNAcentral lists this long non-coding RNA (469 nucleotides) under Androctonus crassicauda. Lineage: Eukaryota; Metazoa; Arthropoda; Arachnida; Scorpiones; Buthidae. The record is from RNAcentral.